GGCGGAGCCUGCUGGCGG
RNAcentral lists this unclassified non-coding RNA (18 nucleotides) under Chlamydomonas reinhardtii. Its description in RNAcentral is "small RNA Cre_1862". The record is from RNAcentral. Lineage: Eukaryota; Viridiplantae; Chlorophyta; Chlorophyceae; Chlamydomonadales; Chlamydomonadaceae.